UCGCGUCUUACGACGGCAGUUUCACUAGAGUUCCCAGCAUUAAGUGCACCACCUGUGAAGGUCCGGCCGAACCGACCCCGUGUUUCCACGGGUGCGACCUACAUGUCAAGCCCAGGUAAGGUUCUUCGCGUUGCGUCGAAUUAAACCACAUGCUCCGCUGCUUGUGCGGGCCCCCGUCAAUUCCUUUGAGUUUUAGCCUUGCGGCCGUACUCCCCAGGCGGGGCACUUAAUGCGUUAGCUUCGGCACGGAGGGAGUCGACACCCCCCACACCUAGUGCCCAUCGUUUACAGCGUGGACUAC
This 301-nucleotide unclassified non-coding RNA is filed under the name uncultured Solirubrobacteraceae bacterium. Its description in RNAcentral is "contains 16S-23S intergenic spacer region". The record is from RNAcentral. Lineage: Bacteria; Bacillati; Actinomycetota; Thermoleophilia; Solirubrobacterales; Solirubrobacteraceae.